GAGUUUGAUCAUGGCUCAGGAUGAACGCUAGCGGCAGGCCUAAUACAUGCAAGUCGAACGGGAUCCAGAGGAGAGCUUGCUUGAAUCUGGUGAGAGUGGCGCACGGGUGCGUAACGCGUGAGCAACCUACCCAUGUCUGGGGGAUAGCCCCUCGAAAGAGGGAUUAAUACCGCAUAACAUCAUUUGGUUUCAUGACUGAAUGAUCAAACUAUUUGGGACAUGGAUGGGCUCGCGUGACAUUAGCUAGUUGGUAAGGUAACGGCUUACCAAGGCUACGAUGUCUAGGGGCUCUGAGAGGAGAAUCCCCCACACUGGUACUGAGACACGGACCAGACUCCUACGGGAGGCAGCAGUAAGGAAUAUUGGUCAAUGGAGGGAACUCUGAACCAGCCAUGCCGCGUGCAGGAAGACGGCCCUAUGGGUUGUAAACUGCUUUUAUCAGGGAAUAAACCUAUCUACGUGUAGAUAGCUGAAUGUACCUGAGGAAUAAGGAUCGGCUAACUCCGUGCCAGCAGCCGCGGUAAU
This 525-nucleotide ribosomal RNA is filed under the name uncultured Sphingobacterium sp. RNAcentral describes it as "bacterial SSU rRNA". It matches the Rfam family "Bacterial small subunit ribosomal RNA", at positions 9 to 524 of the family's 1533-position model. Lineage: Bacteria; Pseudomonadati; Bacteroidota; Sphingobacteriia; Sphingobacteriales; Sphingobacteriaceae. The record is from RNAcentral.